RNAcentral lists this ribosomal RNA (245 nucleotides) under uncultured bacterium. RNAcentral's name for it is "partial 16S ribosomal RNA". It matches the Rfam family "Bacterial small subunit ribosomal RNA", at positions 524 to 767 of the family's 1533-position model. The record is from RNAcentral.
GACAGAGGUGCCGAGCGUUAGGCGGAAUCACUGGGCUUAAAGCGUGUGUAGGCGGACUUUUAAGUGCCUUGUGAAAUCCCCCGGCUCAACCGGGGAACGGCUGGGCAGACUGGAAGUCUUGAGCGACCCAGGGGCGAGCGGAACAAAUGGUGGAGCGGUGAAAUGCGUAGAUAUCAUUUGGAACGCCGAAGGCGAAAGCAGCUCGCUGGGGGUCAUGCUGACGCUGAGACACGAAAGCCAGGGGA